UUUCAGAGAGGUCGCUUGGGUCCAUCAGAGUCUCUGCCGUCACUACCUGCAAGAGGGGACCGGAAGCCAGUGGGCAGGGGCUGGGUGCUCCCCUACAGCACCUCUCCUCUUUGACCUCACCUGUGCUUUGAGGCCUCCUGAUUCCUCCCUGCUGGAGCCCAGAGUUCCAGAGGCACCUGAGCAGGGCAGGCUUCCAGGCAGGCCAGGGCGCCCCAGCAGAGGCACCCGACGAGAUGGGGAGGGCUGGGGAGGGCAGCCUGGGGCAGGAGGGCUUGGGGGACAGGCUCACCUCCACACUGCCAGUCUGGGAUCGUAGCAUGCGGCCCACCCACGAGGAGCGGGCCAGCUGCAGGAGGCAGGACUUCUGCAAGUUCUGCAGCUCGGCCUCCAUCUCCUGGAGCGUGCGGGUGGUCUGCAGCAGCCGCUCCUCCAGGUGCUCCUUCUCCUGCUCCGAGAGGGCCUGUGGUUGGUGGUGGGGGGGUGUCUUCUGCAGAAGGCCCCCAGGCCAGCCCCAGCCUGGCUCCCCAACACCAGGACCCUGCCCACUCCCUGUGCCCCUGCCUCACCCACUGGGCUCGCUCCUUCUGUUCCUUCAACUCCUGGAUCAGCUUCUGGACCUGGUUCUGCAGGAGUUUCUCCUGACUGUGGGAGCUCCUGGAGGAGGGGUGACCUCAGCAGCCCCCACCCUGCUCAGGCAGGGGUUCCUAAUGUCAGGUCAGUGGCGAAGGAGGGGAGAAGGAGGGGCUCCACUGCCACCUUGGCCCCAAGGGCACACAGUACAGCCCCGCUGGGGCUGGCCAGCCUCCGGCUGGUCUGGACAAGGGUCUAGCACCCAUCCACAUGCGCAGGGUUAGGGUGGAGGCUAUAGCGUGUUAACUUAGGAUCAGGGUGGAGGGUCAGCGCGGGCAAGGAUGAGGGUAAGGAUCUGCCUCAGCGGUUGGGGUUGGGGUCAGACAGAAACCAGGAGUCCGGGCGAGGACAGGGCGGGGUUGGGUUGGGCUGGGGACUGUGCUGCAGACCUCUUGGGCGGAAGCCCCGCCACCUCUUCCAGGAUGUGGCAGAGCCGGGCGUCCUCGCCAUUCUGGAUGGCCCACCGCAAGGCCUGGAUCUCCAGUUCUCGCUGUCUCCACAGCAGCCGCAGUGUGCGAGGGUCCAGGGACUCAAGAGCCAACCUGCAGCGGCAGCAGACCCUGCUGCUUACUCAGGCCGGCCCCUGGCCACCUGGCCCAGGAGGCUCACCAGUCCUCCCUCUCCUCCUUACUGCGGGUCGGCAGAGCAGACCACCGGUGCGGGGUGGGGCGUGGUGUCUGGCAGGCACGUGGGAGUCUCGGGGGCUGCAGGUGCGCCUGCUGGAGGUCCCAGGUGACCACUGACCGACUCUUGCUCUGUGGGGGACAGGAGAGCCUCUUCCUCGGUUUCUUCAACCUCCUGGCCAGACUUGGGGGCCAUUCUCAAUGUUCUUCGGGAGCUGGGAGGGGUGGGGGGCCCGUCUGCCGUGUGCGCCUCGUGUGGCCACACAGGUUGGAGCAGCCCAGGCGUCACCACUUACUCACAGAGCGUUGCUCUCUGAAGGGACCCACAUGUGGGUGUCCACACCCGUGUGUUUCUGACCAGGCUGGCGCAGCAGGUCACCACCCGACAUGUCCCUGGCGUGUACCCCUGCCACCCAGGUGCUGGCCCUUUGCCUGUGAUGUGGUGUCCCUCUUUCUCUCUCUUGUCCCCCCAGCUCAGGGCCCUACCCCCAGCACUCACCUGAGGCCCGACCUCCAAGCAGGCCUGGGAGGGAAGGGCUGUAUACCGUUGCCAUGGAUACCAGCACCCAGAAGGGGUGGGGCUGUUUGUUACCAGGAGCCUCCAGGGAGACCCCAGACCAGGCCCCUAGAGACAGGGUCUUGCUCCGCUGUCCAGGCUGGAAUGCUUCGGUGUGAUGACAGCGCACGUUAACCUCGAAUUCCUGGGCUCAGGUGAUCCUCCCACUUCCGCCUCCUGACUUGCUGAAACUACAGGCACCCGCCUCCACCGCCAGGCCCAGCCCACAGCUCCUUUGACCUCAGUGACAGGCACUCACCUACCUGACCCCCAAACUGAAGCCUCACUUUUCCCAGCCGUGUCCACACCCUCUGGGCUACCCCAUUACCAUGACAAGUAUUCCCUCUGCUCCAGGAGAAAAGCCAGGUCCCAGACCUGACCCAUUAAAACCCAAUCAUUCC
This is a long non-coding RNA of Homo sapiens (human), 2210 nucleotides long. Ensembl annotates it as LMNTD2 antisense RNA 1. Its record names the gene LMNTD2-AS1. The record is from Ensembl. Lineage: Eukaryota; Metazoa; Chordata; Mammalia; Primates; Hominidae.